RNAcentral lists this unclassified non-coding RNA (207 nucleotides) under Hevea brasiliensis (rubber tree). Lineage: Eukaryota; Viridiplantae; Streptophyta; Magnoliopsida; Malpighiales; Euphorbiaceae. The record is from RNAcentral.
CAAAAAAAAAAAAAAAAAAACAAUGAUGAGCAUUAUGUAUUUCAAAAGAAAGAGCACAAAAAGUCCAAACCUUUCUCAACAGAAACCCGAACCAUUGGGUUGAAUUCUUUCAGAGAAUUGCAACAAAGCUCAGCAAGUGUUUUCCCAGCAUACACAUUCUCAUUAGGUGGUAUCAAAAAGUUUGAAGAUAAUGCAUCUUCAGUCACA